This 404-nucleotide small RNA is filed under the name uncultured Glomus. RNAcentral describes it as "SSU rRNA". It matches the Rfam family "Eukaryotic small subunit ribosomal RNA", at positions 569 to 978 of the family's 1831-position model. The record is from RNAcentral. Lineage: Eukaryota; Fungi; Glomeromycota; Glomeromycetes; Glomerales; Glomeraceae.
AGCAGCCGCGGUAAUUCCAGCUCCAAUAGCGUAUAUUAAAGUUGUUGCAGUUAAAAAGCUCGUAGUUGAAUUUCGGGGUCAGUAGAUUGGUCGUGCCACUGGUAUGUACUGGUCUUACUGGCUCCUCCUCCCUGAUGAACCGUAAUGCCAUUAAUUUGGUGUUGCGGGGAGACUGGACUGUUACUUUGAAAAAUUAGAGUGUUUAAAGCAGGCUAACGCUUGAAUACAUUAGCAUGGAAUAAUGAAAUAGGACGUUCGAUCUUAUUUUGUUGGUUUCUAAGAUUGACGUAAUGAUUAAUAGGGAUAGUUGGGGGCAUUAGUAUUCAAUUGUCAGAGGUGAAAUUCUUGGAUUUAUUGAAGACUAACUACUGCGAAAGCAUUUGCCAAGGAUGUUUUCAUUAAUC